This is a long non-coding RNA of Equus caballus (horse), 1580 nucleotides long. NCBI's taxonomy places the organism in Eukaryota, Metazoa, Chordata, Mammalia, Perissodactyla, Equidae. The record is from Ensembl.
GUAUUGAAUGAUUUUUUGGUCUACUUUUAUAUAUAUAUAUAACUGUUCUUAAUCUAGAAGAAAUAUAAGCAUAACUUUUAGAUAUACUAUAUAAAUAUAUAUUUACAGAUAUAUAUAUGAUGUGUAGUUGAAGUAUUAAUUUACAUUUGAAUUAAUAUAUAUUACAUAAGAAUUUCAGGAAUGCUUGCCAUUCUCACUUAGCUUUAUACUGACCAAGAGACCUGAGAGGAUUUCUCAUGCCCAUUAAUUGCUGAUAUUCUAAACCACUCACUGAAGGCCUCGUUGGAGUCUGUGUUAGUUUCCUGUGGCCACUGUAAAAAUUACCACACAAUUGGUGGCUUAAACAACAUAAAUUUCUUCUCUUACAGUUUUGGAGGACAGAAGUCUAAAAUCAAGGUGGUAUGUUCUGAGGUUCAUGUCCCCCCAGAAUUCACAUGUUGAAACUCUGCCAUCUAAAGCGAUGGUAUUAUUUCCUCUGGAAGGUAAUUCCGGUCAGAUGAGGUCAUGGGUGGAGCCGCAUGAAUGGUGUUAGUGCUGUUGGAAGAACCAUGGGGACCCUCCUCUCCGUGAGAGGAUACAAUGUGAAGUCAGCAGGCUUCAACCCAGGAGAGGGUUUACACCAGAACCUGACCGUGCUAGCACCCUGAUUUUGGGCUUCCAGGCUCCAGAACUACGAGAAAUAAGUUUCUGUUGUUUUUAAUGUUGAAAGUUUAGCUAAACUGCUCCAUAUUGUUGCCUCAGCAUCCAUUUUGUGUGGUUACGUAGCCUCCAGGGGCCUUGAACUGCGUAGCCCCUCCCUAGAGCGCAUGCCUUAAAGAACAGCCUGCAGAGUCACAGGUGAGUCUAAUUUCCUGAUAAGCCCCUGGUAAUAAAUAGUCUCCCCUGAUUCCCAGCUCCUUCUCCUGGCUUGUGCCUUAGUGUGAUUUUGGUCCUCUUGGUUUCUCUGAUGCUGCUGGGGCUCCCAUUUGCCUGAAGGGGCAUUCCUGUGAGUCAGCAUCCUCUCUAAUCAACAUGUUGCAGAAAAGUGUUUACACACAACAUCCAGAGAAGAGGUGGGAUGCCUACCACAGCAUGGCAUGCCUAGCGGUGCCAUGUCCGCAGCCGGGAUCUGAACUGGCGAACCCUGGGUCUCUGAGAAGUGGAACAUGCGAACUUAACCACUGCACCACCGGGACUAUAAUUGUCUGGAGCAGAAGAGAAAAGAUUGAUGUCUGGAUGAGAACAAGAGAACUGAGAAGAUUAAAUUAUUUCAGUAUGAAUCAAAUCACUCAUCUCUUUUCUGCUUAUUGGCUAGAUCACAAAGACGGUUUUACCGACUCUGACUUUUUAUGUCACUGGCCAUGUGGAAUCCUUACAUGCUGCUAGGUCCCCUGUUCUCAUAUUUCAUAGAAGUUCAAAGUAAGAUGAUAUAUCGCAAUUUGCAUUUAUCCUAGAGUUUGUAUAGGUGUUGCAUUUUAGUCUACUAUUCGGGAACAUAUGUAACACAUGGUACAAGGUUAAAAUGAGGAAAAUAAAAUGAAAAAAUGUAGUUUUUUGUUGUUGCUUUUGUUUUUUGUGUGUGUGUGCUUGUGCUUCAAUAA